RNAcentral lists this ribosomal RNA (1338 nucleotides) under uncultured bacterium. RNAcentral's name for it is "partial 16S ribosomal RNA". It matches the Rfam family "Bacterial small subunit ribosomal RNA", at positions 28 to 1381 of the family's 1533-position model. The record is from RNAcentral.
GACGAACUUUGGCGGCGCGCUUAACACAUGCAAGUCGAACGGAAAGGCCUCUUCGGAGGUACUCGAGUGGCGAACGGGUGAGUAACACGUGGGUGAUCUGCCCUGCACUCUGGGAUAAGCCUGGGAAACUGGGUCUAAUACCGGAUAGGACCAUGCUUUAGUGUGUGUGGUGGAAAGUUUUUUCGGUGUAGGAUGAGCCCGCGGCCUAUCAGCUUGUUGGUGGGGUAAUGGCCUACCAAGGCGGCGACGGGUAGCCGGACUGAGAGGUUGGUCGGCCACAUUGGGACUGAGAUACGGCCCAGACUCCUACGGGAGGCAGCAGUGGGGAAUAUUGCACAAUGGGCGCAAGCCUGAUGCAGCGACGCCGCGUGGGGGAUGACGGCCUUCGGGUUGUAAACUCCUUUCGCCAGGGACGAAGCGUUUUGUGACGGUACCUGGAGAAGAAGCACCGGCUAACUACGUGCCAGCAGCCGCGGUAAUACGUAGGGUGCAAGCGUUGUCCGGAAUUACUGGGCGUAAAGAGCUCGUAGGUGAUUUGUCACGUCGUCUGUGAAAUUCCACAGCUUAACUGUGGGCGUGCAGGCGAUACCGGCUGACUUGAGUACUUUAGGGGGAACUGGAAUUCCUGGUGUAGCGGUGAAANGNGNAGAAANNAGGAGGAACACCGAUUGGCGAAGGCAGGGNACGGGGCAGUUAACUGACGCUGAGGAGCGAAAGCAGGGGUAGCAAACAGGAUUAGAUACCCUGGUAGUCCAUGCCGUAAACGGUGGGCGCUAGGUGUAGGGACCUUUUGGGGUUUCUGUGCCGUAGCUAACGCAUUAAGCACUCCGCCUGGGGAUUACGACCGCAAGGUUGAAACUCAAAAGAAUUGACGGGGACCCGCACAAGCGGUGGAGCAUGUGGUUUAAUUCGAAGCAACGCGAAGAACCUUACCAGCUCUUGACAUCUUCUGACAACUCUAGAGAUAGAGCGUUCCCUUCGGGGACAGAAUGACAGGUGGUGCAUGGCUGUCGUCAGCUCGUGUCGCGAGAUGUUGGGUUAAGUCCCGUAACGAGCGCAACCCUUGUUGUUAGUUGCCAGCAUUAAGUUGGGCACUUUAACGAGACUGCCGGUGAUAAACCGGAGGAAGGCGGGGAUGACGUCAAAUCAUCAUGCCCCUUAUGAGCUGGGCUACACACGUGCUACAAUGGAUGGUACAACGAGCAGCGAUCCCGCAAGGGCUAGCUAAUCUUUCAAAGCCAUUCUCAGUUCGGAUUGCACUCUGCAACUCGAGUGCAUGAAGUCGGAAUCGCUAGUAAUCGCGAAUCAGAAUGUCGCGGUGAAUCCGUUCCCGGGUCU